Molecule: ribosomal RNA, 515 nt
Filed under: uncultured archaeon
Lineage: Archaea
Description: bacterial SSU rRNA
Rfam family: Archaeal small subunit ribosomal RNA
Source: RNAcentral
AACCUUUACACUGCACGACAGUGCGAUAAGGGAAUCCCAAGUGCGUAGGCAUAGAGCCUACGCUUUUGUCCACCGUAGGGAGGUGGACGAAUAAGGGCUGGGCAAGACCGGUGCCAGCCGCCGCGGUAAUACCGGCAGCCCGAGUGAUGGCCGAUCUUAUUGGGCCUAAAGCGUCCGUAGCUGGCCGCGCAAGUCUAUCGGAAAAUCCACCCGCUCAACGGGUGGGCGUCCGGUAGAAACUGCGUGGCUUGGGACCGGAAGGCGCGACGGGUACGUCCGGGGUAGGAGUGAAAUCCCGUAAUCCUGGACGGACCGCCGAUGGCGAAAGCACGUCGCGAAGACGGAUCCGACAGUGAGGGACGAAAGCUAGGGUCUCGAACCGGAUUACAUACCCGGGUAGUCCUAGCCGCACACAAUGCCUGCUAGGUGUGGCUCCCACUACGAGUGGGUGCUGUGCCGUACGGAAGCCGCUAAGCAGGCCGCCUGGGAAGUACGUCCGCAAGGAUGAAACUUAA